Long non-coding RNA from Peromyscus eremicus (cactus mouse), 531 nucleotides. RefSeq lists it as uncharacterized. The record is from RefSeq and is a predicted model, not a curated record. Lineage: Eukaryota; Metazoa; Chordata; Mammalia; Rodentia; Cricetidae. The transcript is spliced from 4 exons.
UUCUAGUCAUCCUCCCUUCUCUCCUCUAACUCCCAGUUACAUGCGAUUUUGGGAGUGCUAGAGUGUGUGGAGAGUGAAAGAUUAACUGGAAAGGAGCCCCACAAUAUAGCUUCCGUGGUAUUGUCCAUGAUGGAGUGGGACUUUGCAAUGAUGUAGCUGUUUGGAAUCCCACAUUCCUGUAACAAACCUUUCAUCAUGCUCCUGGAGAAGGAAGAGUGGAGCCAGCAGACAUGAUCCAGCGGCCCAAGGAACAAGAUGUCAGAGAACUGACGCCAUCAUUCUUGUUGCUAAAGGUGAAGCAGAACUGAAUGAAAUUCAUAGUGCCUGAGGAUUUUCAAAGAAGUUUUUCAAUUCAGGAACUGGAUUGCAACAUUCCUUCCAAAUUGAAACAUUUACUCCAAGAAGGAAGUGGAGACGCUUGAGCCCCAGUGAACUAAACAGAAGGUAACAUGGCAGGGAGAAUGGGAACUUGGAAAUUUCCUCAAGGUGAUUACCCAGUGGUGCUAAAGUAACUAAACAGUUGCUGGGGGU